GACGAACGCUGGCGGCGUGCUUAACACAUGCAAGUCGAACGGAAAGGCCCUGCUUUUGUGGGGUGCUCGAGUGGCGAACGGGUGCGUAACACGUGUGUAACCUGCCCUUCACUUUGGGAUAACUUCACGAAACUGGGGCUACUACCGGAUAGCAGCUCCUGCUGCAUGGUGGGGGUUGGAACGUUUCGGCGGUUGGGGAUGGACUCGCGGCUUAUCAGCUUGUUGGUGGGGUAGUGGCUUACCAAGGCUUUGACGGGUAGCCGGCCUGAGAGGGUGACCGGCGACAAUGGGACUGAGAGACGGCGCAGACGCCAACGGGAGGCAGAAGUGGGGAGUAUUGCACAGUGGGCGGAAGCCGGAGGCGGCAACGCCGCGUGCGGGAUGACGGCCUUCGGGGUGUAAACAGCUGUCGCCUGUGACGAAGCGGGAGUGACGGUAAUGAGUAAAGAAGCACCGGCUAACUACGUG
This 468-nucleotide ribosomal RNA is filed under the name uncultured bacterium. Its description in RNAcentral is "partial 16S ribosomal RNA". It matches the Rfam family "Bacterial small subunit ribosomal RNA", at positions 28 to 507 of the family's 1533-position model. The record is from RNAcentral.